UCCCAUUAUCUAUGCUCGUGUCCACGUUC
Molecule: non-coding RNA, 29 nt
Filed under: Rattus norvegicus (Norway rat)
Lineage: Eukaryota; Metazoa; Chordata; Mammalia; Rodentia; Muridae
Source: RNAcentral